Molecule: transfer RNA, 78 nt
Filed under: Candidatus Geothermarchaeota archaeon
Lineage: Archaea; Thermoproteati; Candidatus Geothermarchaeota
Description: tRNA-Val
Rfam family: tRNA
About the family: Transfer RNA (tRNA) molecules are approximately 80 nucleotides in length. Their secondary structure includes four short double-helical elements and three loops (D, anti-codon, and T loops). Further hydrogen bonds mediate the characteristic L-shaped molecular structure. tRNAs have two regions of fundamental functional importance: the anti-codon, which is responsible for specific mRNA codon recognition, and the 3' end, to which the tRNAs corresponding amino acid is attached (by aminoacyl-tRNA synthetases). tRNAs cope with the degeneracy of the genetic code in two manners: having more than one tRNA (with a specific anti-codon) for a particular amino acid; and 'wobble' base-pairing, i.e. permitting non-standard base-pairing at the 3rd anti-codon position.
Source: RNAcentral
GGGCCGGUGGUCUAGCCUGGUUAGGACGUCUGCCUUACGCGCAGAAGGUCCCAGGUUCAAAUCCUGGCCGGCCCACCA